This is an RNA transcript of Manduca sexta (tobacco hornworm), 2441 nucleotides long. It is a transcript of the gene named PDZ and LIM domain protein 3, with no coding region annotated. The transcript has 11 exons. The record is from RefSeq and is a predicted model, not a curated record. NCBI's taxonomy places the organism in Eukaryota, Metazoa, Arthropoda, Insecta, Lepidoptera, Sphingidae.
GAAAUUAGCGCGCACAACGUCGUGUGUUGCCGCCGCGGGCGCACAGCAUCGCCACACGUCCGCGACUCACCGCGCUUGCGUAACACGCGGACACCAGUGCAUCUGCGCUUCGUGCUCCUGCGCACCACCAUGGGCCGUCUGCACACCUUCGUGGUGACGCUGCACCGCGACUCGCGCGACAUCAACUGGGGCCUGCGGCUCGUCGGCGGCGCGGACCUCGCCACGCCGCUCAUCGUCACCAGGGUGACAGCCGGCACGCCUGCAGGGAAGGAGCUGGUGCGCGGCGACAUCAUCGCGAAGAUCGACGACUACGACGCGCGCGACCUGCGCCACGAGGACGCGCAAAACCUCUUCAAGAACGCGCCCAGGCAGAUCAAGCUGGUAGUGCAAAGGGGCGGCUCCAGUCCUCAUCUGUACACGGUACCCCGCACCACAGGCAGCUUUGUAGGGCGCGUCCCCACGCCCACAUUCUUUCACGAGUUCGCGGAGAACGUGGACGGUGAGCCUCCAAGACCGGCCGGCACUCCCAUGGCGCCGCGCUCGCCCAUCCCCAACGCCACGGCUACGCCUUUCAGGACGGUGAGCCCGACGCCGGCGCCGGCGUUCCGCGGCCCGGAGUCGCUGCCGCGCAGCACGCCCGUGCCGCCCGCCACGCCCGGCCUGCCCGGCUCCUACCCCACGCACCACGACGACUACCGCAACAUGCUGCUGUCGCCCGCCUCCAACCGCACCGACGACACUAUCGAUGAGUCGAUACACUCUCAGCCUUACCGCACGACGCCGCUGGUGCUGCCGGGCGCGAAGGUGCGCCGCGAGCCGGGCCCCACGGAGAGCUACCUGCGCCACCACCCCAACCCCGCCAUGCGCGCGCCCCCCAGCCACGACUACCGCGAUACGCUUAUGAGGCAGAAGGUGGCCGAGUCGGUGUUGCAGCGAGUGGUGGGCGAAGAGGGACCUAAGAUGGUGCACAAGCAGUUCAACUCGCCCAUCAACCUAUACUCUGAGCAAAACAUCGCCAACUCGAUCAGGCAACAGACAUCGCCACUGCCCUCUAACGGCCAUUACGGACGGCCGCACGUUGUCAAGAGGCAAGUGUUUUACUAGAAACACCACGAUACAACAGUCGACGCCCAACUUCAUGACGCAUUAAUGCUUAUUUUAUUAUUAUUUUGCUACCUUUCGUCUGUCAAACUGUCUAUAUCAUGCAACGCUCUGUACUUAUCGUCGAGCAUGGUGACGUCGUCGACCUGUUGGUUGUUGUUGACAACCGAUCUGCGAUCUAAACGUAAAACAUUCACACGCCCAACAGUCGCCGCGCGCUCCUCUGAGCCGCGGUGAUCAUUAUUCACACCCGUAGUAGUUAAGAGUAAUAUAUCUAAUAUUUACGUAAUCAAAUACUUAUUUAAUAAUAAUUAAGAUAAUGAACUUAUUCUACAUGAUUAAUGUUAGUAUUUUUAUCGACCUCUCCUUCCUGAAACACAAACACAACUAAACGUGACCGUACGCGCACUAACCGCUUCCGCGCCCCCUAACGCCCCCACGGUAUCGAGAUUAAUGUGUUUCUGUCUAUUAUUGUGUUGCGCCCGCUAACCGACUAAAAACUAACGCCCCGCCCCCUGCGCCACCGUCCGCCACUACAGCAACAAGCCCGGCGCGUACGACCCCGCCAAGUCGGAGACGUACCGCGCGCUGCAGGAGGACGGCCUCGGCGACCAGCCCGCGCAAGAGGUGCCCACUCCCGCCACCAAGGUCUUCCAAGCGCCGGCCAACAAGAGGCCGGUGCCUCCUCCGAAACAAAACCUCGACGCGAAGCCGCACGGAAAACAAACGACCUUCGUAAACUCUCUUCACGAAGAGCACAUCCAGCAGUCGAACUCGUUCAAGCGCCUCAUGUACAACGUGCUCGGCGACACGGAGUUCUAGUCGCGUCCGCAGUCCCGCCGCACGCCUCCAGCCGCGGUCACUCAGCGCACGCCGCGUGCCCUGUAGCUGACAUGCCCCGUGCAGUACACAGUAUGCAGCGUACAGUGUACACACCACACACCGUGCCACGGUCACUCCCGACUGAUUUAGGAUGUUUUAAGGCGGUUAGAUGGCGCCACAUCUUAGACAAACCGACUUGUUGGGUUAGCAACGAAUAAGACUAACAAAUAAUUUUAGGAAGCUACCUAUAUUUUUCCUGACAGUGUGUAUAAUUAUUUUUCGGUGGAUUUAAAUUCUAAUACUCGAGUAUUAGUUAUAUGAUUUAUAUUUACAUUAAGUAGAAGUGUAAUAUUUAUUACUAAGUGUUGAUUUUCUGUUAAAUACAGAAAUAUAAUUAAUUGUUUAUGUAUACUAUGAGAAUAAAGUUGAGUGUACCGUCUAGUCAAUUCGACCAGAGCUCCGGUCGUAAUCAAGAAUAUGAAGUUCAGUGUCUUAAAUAAAUUAUUUAUUUUUAAUUA